UUGGUGAACGAAGAUCAGACUCAGAUACAUUCGAUUCAGCAGGUGCGGCUUGUGGAAUAUCAUCUACCUUGUCGGUUUUGGAGUCCUCCUUGUCCUUAAUAGAAUGUUCAACAGCGUCAGACUUUAUAUCUGUCUCUUUCUUCUCGGUCACCACUUCAUUAUUUUCCGCAACCUCAGGUUCCUCCAAUGCUGCUUCCCAAUCAUCAAAGACAGCUUCAGCUUCAGCUUCAUUUUCCUCUUUACGUUCAACCUCUGUCUCUUUUUCCACU
This is a non-coding RNA of Schizosaccharomyces pombe (fission yeast), 269 nucleotides long. The record is from the annotation of a GenBank genome assembly. Lineage: Eukaryota; Fungi; Ascomycota; Schizosaccharomycetes; Schizosaccharomycetales; Schizosaccharomycetaceae.